UUUUAGGUUCAAAGUGUGAGACAAAUGCUAGAUGAUUAUUUAAGUUCCUAAGAGAUGCUCUAGUUCUAACAGGUUGAGAGGGAUCAUCUAAAAUUAAUUCCUUAGGAUGACCAUGAGCAUACCUCCAAGCCUUAGUCAGCCCAUGAUCCACAAUUACCUCUGGCUUGUUGAUGCUUCUCCAAUUUGCUUUGGUUCAUCUUCUUAUAAUGUCAUCUCAUCAAUCUUUUCUUCAAGAAUUUCUGCAUCAUCAUCAAGAGCUACUUUCUUGCUAGAAGAGACAUCAUUAGUAUCAUCAAAAACAACAU
Molecule: long non-coding RNA, 305 nt
Filed under: Phoenix dactylifera (date palm)
Lineage: Eukaryota; Viridiplantae; Streptophyta; Magnoliopsida; Arecales; Arecaceae
Description: long non-coding RNA (PDAC_LNC014318)
Source: RNAcentral